This 25-nucleotide non-coding RNA is filed under the name Drosophila melanogaster (fruit fly). Lineage: Eukaryota; Metazoa; Arthropoda; Insecta; Diptera; Drosophilidae. The record is from RNAcentral.
AAACUUAGUAUUUUGUCUUAAAAGG